Molecule: ribosomal RNA, 1908 nt
Filed under: Triticum aestivum (bread wheat)
Lineage: Eukaryota; Viridiplantae; Streptophyta; Magnoliopsida; Poales; Poaceae
Description: partial small subunit ribosomal RNA
Source: RNAcentral
AUGAAGGAGGCAAAAUGGCAGCUUUAUCAUGGUUGUACCAAGCUUUCAAGGUUCUCCUUUGUGGUAAAGCUUCUUCACUUGAAGUCAUACCAUAGGAUCCCGAAUAGUGCAUUUACUGAAAUUUUGAAGCUAUUAGCUGAAGCAUUCCCUGAACCCAAUACGCUCCCAAAAUCUUAUAAGGAAGCAAAGAACCUUCUAAAGGAAUUAGGCCUUGGGUAUGAGUCUAUACAUGUGUGCUUCAAUAAUUGCAUUCUGUUCAGAAAGCAAUAUGCCAAUCAUGACAAUUGCCCAGUUUGUGGCCUAUCAAGGUGGAAAGAUCCUGCUAGAAAGAAGAUUCCACAGAAAGUGUUGAGGCAUUUUCCAUUGGUGCCUAGGCUAAAGAGGAUGUUUCUUUCCAAAAAAGGCGCAGAAGAAGCACAAUGGCAUGAGCUAAAGAGGCAGCCCAAUGAGAAGGAACUGAGUCAUCCAAAAGACGGUGAUGCGUGGAAAGAUUUCGAUGAAAAAUUUCCAGAAUUUGCAGAAGAUUCCAGAAACUUUAGGCUUGGCAUUGCCACUGAUGGGUUCAAUCCUUUUGGAAAUUUUAACACAACCUAUAGUAUGUGGCCUGUAUUUGUUAUACCAUACAACCUUCCACCUUGGGCAUGCAUGGAUCAGUCAAAUUUUAUGAUGGCUCUGCUGAUUCCAGGUCCCAAAUCACCCGGCAAGCACUUCGAUGUCUUUCUACAACCACUUGUGGAAGAAUUACUUGAGCUCUGGGAGGGUGUACGUACAUAUGAUGCUCUUAGUGGAAAAAUGUUUGAUCUUCAUGCUGCAGUUCUAUGGUGCAUUCACGAUUACCCAGCUCUGAGCACUCUUUCAGGGCAUACCACAAGAGGCUAUUGUGCAUGUAUUCAUUGUGACAAACACCCACUUUCUUACAGCCUAAGGAGUAAAAUUGGGUAUAUUGGUCACUAUCGUUUCCUUCCAAGGGGUCAUCGUUUGCGGAGAAACAAUGAAUUUGUUGGUCUUCAUGAAAGCAAUGAUGAGCCAGGUAAAUUCUCUGAGAAAGAGUUGCAAGCAGAAUUGGAGAAGGUUAGACCUGGGAGACAACAAGAAAGUAGAAAAAGGAAGCGUUCUGACUUGGGCAGCAAGAAGGAUCAUGCACCAAUUUGGGGCCGGCGGGUUUGUUUGUGGGAUUUGAAGUACUGGGCAAAGUUGAAGAUGAGACACAAUCUUGAUGUCAUGCAUAUUGAGAAAAACAUUUGUGAAAACCUCGUUGGGACAAUUCUGAAUCUGGAGGGUAAGACAAAGGACACACUUAAUGCUAGGAUUGAUCUCAAAGAUUUGAAUAUUAAAGAGGAGUUGCAAUUGAGGAAGGAGGGAGACUCAUAUGUGAUGCCUCGGGCCCGAUAUACCUUGUCCAAAGAACAAGUUGUUGCAUUUUGUCAAUUUUUACGAGAGUUAAAGUUUCCAGAUGGGUUUGCUUCCAACAUCUCAAGAUGCACAAGUGCUGAUGGAACCAAGGUACAAGGCCUGAAAACACAUGAUUGUCACAUUCUUCUGCAGAGAAUCUUACCUGCUGGCAUGAGAGGAUUUUUGGACAGUGAUAUAUAUGAAGCAAUAGCUGAGUUAGGCAAGUUUUUCAGAGAACUGUGCAGCAAAACUCUUAAUAGGGAUGUCUUGGCCAAAAUGAAGAAGGAAAUCCCUGUAAUUUUGUGCAAGCUUGAGAAAAUUUUCCCGCCUGCAUUCUUUGAUGUGAUGGUGCACCUUGCCGUACAUUUACCUGAAGAGGCAUUGCUUCGAGGUCCCGUACAAUAUGGGUGGAUGUACCCAGUUGAAAGAAGGCUAUAUACUUUAAAGCGCUAUGUGAGGAAUAGGGCGCGACCAGAGGUUCGAUUGCUGAGGCAUAUAUUGCAGAUGAAUGCCUGA